This is a long non-coding RNA of Sus scrofa (pig), 512 nucleotides long. RefSeq lists it as uncharacterized. The record is from RefSeq and is a predicted model, not a curated record. NCBI's taxonomy places the organism in Eukaryota, Metazoa, Chordata, Mammalia, Artiodactyla, Suidae.
UCUCCUGUUGGUCCUGCUUGGUUAGGGUGUGCGUGAGGCGGAAGACGGAAGAUUCACGGGACGGCGGAGGAGUUUUGAAGCCCCAAAGUUGGAGCCAGACCUGGAGGGGUCUGAAAAGCUUCUGGAGGAAAAAGCGAGCCAAGCUUUCUGCCCUCCCGCAGGGGAUCUAAGGUGGGCCCUGUGGACACUGCCUGAAAAGAAGGCGACCUUCAAGAAUGGAAGGGCCCCUGCCCUACACAUCUCAGCAGAACACCAGCUAUGACUCCCCACUGGGCUUCUAGAUUCCAGAGCCAGGGAGCGGAAUUGCUGACCAGACCAGCAGAGGGAGUGACAGACGUCAUCCCAGUGACCUUGACUUGAGUUUCCUCCUUGGGGGCCUUGGAAUCUGUGCAACAUUGUGAGACCUUCUCAUCAUGUUGUUAUCGUCUAAUGAAAACUCAUUAUAAAAUAUGGAAUUCUGGAUCUUUUGAAUGGCUUCAUUUGUGGUUUUCUUGGGUAAGGGCUGGAGUCAA